UCUGACUACCCUGGUGACUUUCAGAUAAU
RNAcentral lists this non-coding RNA (29 nucleotides) under Homo sapiens (human). The record is from RNAcentral. Lineage: Eukaryota; Metazoa; Chordata; Mammalia; Primates; Hominidae.